CAGCCGCCGCGGUAAUACGAAGGGGGCUAGCGUUGUUCGGAAUUACUGGGCGAAAAGCGCACGUAGGCGGAUUUUUAAGUCAGGGGUGAAAUCCCGAGGCUCAACCUCGGAACUGCCUUUGAUACUGGAGAUCUUGAGUUCGGAAGAGGUUGGUGGAACAGCUAGUGUAGAGGUGAAAUUCGUAGAUAUUAGCUAGAACACCAGUGGCGAAGGCGGCCAACUGGUCCGAUACUGACGCUGAGGUGCGAAAGCGUGGGGAGCAAACAGGAUUAGAUACCCCCGUAGUCCCUGUCUCUUAUAC
This 301-nucleotide ribosomal RNA is filed under the name uncultured bacterium. RNAcentral's name for it is "partial 16S ribosomal RNA". It matches the Rfam family "Bacterial small subunit ribosomal RNA", at positions 509 to 807 of the family's 1533-position model. The record is from RNAcentral.